UCUCCUGGCCAGAGUUCACAGUUCACUCCUAAAGCAAACAUAGCUCAGCUUCCAAAUACCUCUCAAUCUCAGGGCUAUGGUGGUUUUUCUUGUGCUAACACUGAUUAUACCAAAGAUAAUGCUUGGUAUCUGGACUCCGGGGCUACCAAUCACAUCACACACGAUUUGGCUAAUCUCAAUACAGCCACUGAGUAUCAGGGA
This 201-nucleotide long non-coding RNA is filed under the name Salvia miltiorrhiza (redroot sage). RNAcentral describes it as "long non-coding RNA (SMIL_LNC003827)". The record is from RNAcentral. Lineage: Eukaryota; Viridiplantae; Streptophyta; Magnoliopsida; Lamiales; Lamiaceae.